RNAcentral lists this long non-coding RNA (254 nucleotides) under Lathyrus oleraceus (garden pea). Its description in RNAcentral is "Pisum sativum (pea) long non-coding RNA (PSAT_LNC032226)". Lineage: Eukaryota; Viridiplantae; Streptophyta; Magnoliopsida; Fabales; Fabaceae. The record is from RNAcentral.
UAAACCGAGUCAAGGUUUCUUCAAGUUGACAUGAUGAAUUCUCCUUCCAUGGAUGCUCAGUGUUGAUGUAAGGCUUUGGCUCUGAAUAAAUUCUCGCAUUUUUUUGAAAUAGAGUUUUUGCUGCAAGUUAUUUUGAAUAAGCUUCAAACAUCGCCAAGUUAGCAUAGAUUUCGUCUUGCAUGUCUGUCUUCACCUCGCCUACGAUAUAAAAAGAAGAAUACCUUAGUAGCACUGCACUAGAUAAAAAAAAUUAA